GUCCCUGUAGCUCAAUGGAUAGUGCAUUGGACUUGUAAUCCAAAGGUGGUAAGUUCGAAUCCCACCUGGGACA
This 73-nucleotide transfer RNA is filed under the name Trichonephila clavata. It matches the Rfam family "tRNA". From Rfam's summary of the family: Transfer RNA (tRNA) molecules are approximately 80 nucleotides in length. Their secondary structure includes four short double-helical elements and three loops (D, anti-codon, and T loops). The record is from Rfam by way of RNAcentral. Lineage: Eukaryota; Metazoa; Arthropoda; Arachnida; Araneae; Nephilidae.